AGAGUUUGAUCCUGGCUCAGGAUGAACGCUGGCGGUAUGCCUAACACAUGCAAGUCGUACGGGAGUUUUUAACUCUAGUGGCGGACGGGUGAGUAACACGUGAGAAUUUGCCUUUAGGAGGGGGACAACAGUUGGAAACGACUGCUAAUACCCCAUAUGCUUUCGAGUGAAAUGGAUUUAUAUUUAUCCGCCUAGAGAGAAGCUCGCGGCUGAUUAGCUUGUUGGUAAGGUAAGAGCUUACCAAGGCGACGAUCAGUAUCUGGUUUGAGAGGACGAUCAGACACACUGGAACUGAGACACGGUCCAGACUCCUACGGGAGGCAGCAGUGGGGAAUUUUCCGCAAUGGGCGAAAGCCUGACGGAGCAAUACCGCGUGAGGGAAGACUGCCUAUGGGUUGUAAACCUCUUUUUUCAGGGAGGAAUCAAUGACGUGUACCUGAAGAAUAAGCAUCGGCUAACUCCGUGCCAGCAGCCGCGGUAAG
RNAcentral lists this ribosomal RNA (482 nucleotides) under uncultured bacterium. RNAcentral describes it as "bacterial SSU rRNA". It matches the Rfam family "Bacterial small subunit ribosomal RNA", at positions 8 to 524 of the family's 1533-position model. The record is from RNAcentral.